UCUACGAUUUCCGAAUGGGGAAACCCACUGGCAUAAGCCAGUAUCAUUGAGUGAAUACAUAGCUCAAUGAAGCGAACCGGGAGAACUGAAACAUCUAAGUACCCCGAGGAAAAGAAAUCAACCGAGAUUCCGAAAGUAGCGGCGAGCGAAAUUGGAUUAGCCCUUAAGCUUUACAUGUGUUAGACGAACGGUCUGGAAAGUCCGACGAUACAGGGUGAUAGUCCCGUAGUUGUAGAUGCAUGUUCAGUGAAAUCGAGUAGGGCGGGACACGUGUUAUCCUGUCUGAAUAUGGGGGGACCAUCCUCCAAGGCUAAAUACUCCUGACUGACCGAUAGUGAACCAGUACCGUGAGGGAAAGGCGAAAAGAACCCCUGUGAGGGGAGUGAAAUAGAACCUGAAACCGUGUACGUACAAGCAGUAGGAGCACCUUCGUGGUGUGACUGCGUACCUUUUGUAUAAUGGGUCAGCGACUUAUAUUCAGUGGCAAGGUUAACCAUCUAGGGGAGCCGUAGGGAAACCGAGUCUUAACUGGGCGCCAUAGUCUCUGGAUAUAGACCCGAAACCGAGUGAUCUAGCCAUGGGCAGGUUGAAGGUUGAGUAACAUCAACUGGAGGACCGAACCGACUAAUGUUGAAAAAUUAGCGGAUGACUUGUGGCUAGGGGUGAAAGGCCAAUCAAACUCGGAGAUAGCUGGUUCUCCCCGAAAGCUAUUUAGGUAGCGCCUCGGACGAAUACUACUGGGGGUAGAGCACUGUUAAGGCUAGGGGGUCAUCCCGACUUACCAACCCUUUGCAAACUCCGAAUACCAGUAAGUACUAUCCGGGAGACACACGGCGGGUGCUAACGUCCGUCGUGGAGAGGGAAACAACCCAGACCGCCAGCUAAGGUCCCAAAUUACAGCUAAGUGGGAAACGAUGUGGGAAGGCUUAGACAGCUAGGAUGUUGGCUUAGAAGCAGCCAUCAUUUAAAGAAAGCGUAAUAGCUCACUAGUCGAGUCGGCCUGCGCGGAAGAUGUAACGGGGCUAAGUU
This 1029-nucleotide ribosomal RNA is filed under the name Vibrio vulnificus. RNAcentral describes it as "partial 23S ribosomal RNA". It matches the Rfam family "Bacterial large subunit ribosomal RNA", at positions 104 to 1188 of the family's 2925-position model. The record is from RNAcentral. Lineage: Bacteria; Pseudomonadati; Pseudomonadota; Gammaproteobacteria; Vibrionales; Vibrionaceae.